GUGAGGAAUAUUGGUCAAUGGGCGGGAGCCUGAACCAGCCAAGUCGCGUGAAGGAAGAAGGAUCUAUGGUUCGUAAACUUCUUUUGCAGGGGAAUAAAGUGCAGGACGUGUCCUGUUUUGUAUGUACCCUGAGAAUAAGGAUCGGCUAACUCCGUGCCAGCAGCCGCGGUAAUACGGAGGAUCCGAGCGUUAUCCGGAUUUAUUGGGUUUAACGGGUGCGUAGGUGGUUUGAUAAGUCAGCGGUGAAAGUUUGCAGCUUAACUGUAAAAAUGCCGUUGAAACUGUCGGACUUGAGUGUAAAUGAGGUAGGCGGAAUGCGUGGUGUAGCGGUGAAAUGCAUAGAUAUCACGCAGAACUCCGAUUGCGAAGGCAGCUUACUAAGCUACAACUGACACUGAAGCACGAAAGCGUGGGGAUCAAACAGGAUUAGAAACCCCAGUAGUCC
This 445-nucleotide ribosomal RNA is filed under the name uncultured bacterium. Its description in RNAcentral is "partial 16S ribosomal RNA". It matches the Rfam family "Bacterial small subunit ribosomal RNA", at positions 354 to 796 of the family's 1533-position model. The record is from RNAcentral.